AUGGACUUGGAAAAGUCUGGUCGGAUUCGACGUAGUCGGAUCCGAGUCGAGAUAAGGUCCGAGUCGGACAGACCCAACUAUGAGACGUCGCGAUAUGUCAUCUGUGAGUCUCUAGUACAACAUACGUUCUAUGUCCUAAGACCUGAGCUGACGCAUGUACUCGGGAUGGUGACAUACCUGCUUUGGGCCGACCAAACGCUACUCCGUAACUGGGUAGUUACAAAGGUAGGUUUCGGGCUUGUCCAGACCCAUGCUGCGAGACGUGGUCGAGCAAGAUGGGAUUUGCCCCUCCGAUCAGGAGAGAUAUACUCUGGGCCCCUCGUGUGA
Molecule: ribosomal RNA, 327 nt
Filed under: Triticum aestivum (bread wheat)
Lineage: Eukaryota; Viridiplantae; Streptophyta; Magnoliopsida; Poales; Poaceae
Description: partial small subunit ribosomal RNA
Source: RNAcentral